ACAGAGGGUGCAAGCGUUAAUCGGAUUUACUGGGCGUAAAGCGUGCGUAGGCGGUUCAGUAUGUCGGUCGUGAAAUCCCCGGGCUUAACCUGGGAACUGCGCUUGUGACUGCAAGACUCGAGUACGGCAGAGGGGGGUAGAAUUCCACGUGUAGCAGUGAAAUGCGUAGAGAUGUGGAGGAAUACCGAUGGCGAAGGCAGCCCCCUGGGCCAAUACUGACGCUCAUGCACGAAAGCGUGGGGAGCAAACAGGA
Molecule: ribosomal RNA, 253 nt
Filed under: uncultured prokaryote
Description: partial 16S ribosomal RNA
Rfam family: Bacterial small subunit ribosomal RNA
Source: RNAcentral